RNAcentral lists this ribosomal RNA (560 nucleotides) under uncultured bacterium. RNAcentral describes it as "bacterial SSU rRNA". It matches the Rfam family "Bacterial small subunit ribosomal RNA", at positions 127 to 670 of the family's 1533-position model. The record is from RNAcentral.
UGCCCCUAAGUCUGGGAUACCAUUUGGAAACAGGUGCUAAUACCGGAUAAUAAAGCAGAUCGCAUGAUCAGCUUUUGAAAGGCGGCGUAAGCUGUCGCUAAGGGAUGGCCCCGCGGUGCAUUAGCUAGUUGGUAAGGUAACGGCUUACCAAGGCGACGAUGCAUAGCCGAGUUGAGAGACUGAUCGGCCACAUUGGGACUGAGACACGGCCCAAACUCCUACGGGAGGCAGCAGUAGGGAAUCUUCCACAAUGGACGCAAGUCUGAUGGAGCAACGCCGCGUGAGUGAAGAAGGUUUUCGGAUCGUAAAGCUCUGUUGUUGGUGAAGAAGGAUAGAGGUAGUAACUGGCCUUUAUUUGACGGUAAUCAACCAGAAAGUCACGGCUAACUACGUGCCAGCAGCCGCGGUAAUACGUAGGUGGCAAGCGUUGUCCGGAUUUAUUGGGCGUAAAGCGAGCGCAGGCGGAAAAAUAAGUCUAAUGUGAAAGCCCUCGGCUUAACCGAGGAACUGCAUUCGGAAAACUGUUUUUCUUGAGUGCAAGAAAAGGAAAGUGGAACUCC